CACGACCCUCGAGCCCGCCGGCUCGGUGUUGGGGGACCGGCCCGGGCCGCCCCCGAAACGCAGUGGCGACCGCCCACGCGAACCCCCCAGCGCGGAACAGCCGCAGGGCGAAGGGGGCCCGCGAGGUCGGUCACGCCGUGAAACGACCCACCCAGCAGACGU
Molecule: unclassified non-coding RNA, 162 nt
Filed under: Ophiocordyceps konnoana
Lineage: Eukaryota; Fungi; Ascomycota; Sordariomycetes; Hypocreales; Ophiocordycipitaceae
Description: ITS2
Source: RNAcentral